RNAcentral lists this ribosomal RNA (254 nucleotides) under uncultured bacterium. RNAcentral describes it as "partial 16S ribosomal RNA". It matches the Rfam family "Bacterial small subunit ribosomal RNA", at positions 524 to 776 of the family's 1533-position model. The record is from RNAcentral.
UACGUAGGGGCCUAGCGUUGUCCGGAUUUAUUGGGCGUAAAGAGCUCGUAGGCGGUUUGGUGAGUCGGGUGUGAAAUCUCCACGCUCAACGUGGAGGGGCCACCCGAUACUGCCAUGACUAGAGUCCGGUAGGGGAGUGUGGAAUUCCCGGUGUAGCGGUGAAAUGCGCAGAUAUCAGGAAGAACACCCGUGGCGAAGGCGGCUCUCUGGGACGGUACUGACGCUGAGACGCGAAAGCGUGGGGAGCGAACAGG